GUUAACACAGUAGAUAAAAGGGUACGAAGUAUUUUGAAUAUCAGGAUAUUCAGAUAUAUAAUGAAUACAGGUCAUCAGGUUCACAGUCUAUGUAGUAUAUUACAGUAUUAGAGGCAUAUCAGAUGAGACGAAAAAACAGUAGAACUGCUUUAGAUUGAGUGCAGCAGCUACAAGAAUAAGACUAAAUUGAUAACACUUCUAUUUGUAUGUAGGUAAUUGGUCACCAUAAUAGUACUUCCCAAUAAUGUCUCCAUCUUUGAAUUCCAAGAAUUUGGUACACAUCACUAUAGACAUACACGUUUAACAUAAAUAAUCAUUCAAUUGAGUCAAAGAUAUGGAAUUCCAACUAAAACAUUCACUGAUCUACAAGUACCAGUAACUAACCUUUUCCUUGCUUCCAGCACUCCCAACAACAUAGCAACCUGUCAACUUUGCAAAUUGGCCAACAAGCUGACCUACUGCUCCAGAUGCGGCUGAAAUGUAGACAGUCUCUCCUUUCUUAGGAGAGCAAACCUCAAAAAACCCAGCAUAAGCAGUCAUUCCAGGCAUACCUACAUAACAUAUGAAUACGUCAGAUGAGCCCAAACAACCAGUAGACUCCAACAAGAGAUCUCAUGAGGGAACAGUAAACAAUAUGCACAAAAAAAUAUUGACACCAGCUGUCAACUUGUGAAUAUAGCAUGAAACUUUUAUGUUCUCUGCUCAUACAUGAAAAGGAGCCAACACAAUCAGUUGCACAAAAAACUAUUGCCACAACUUAACUCAAGGGGUUAGGCCCUCAAGAGCUGCAAGGGAACAAAUUGUGGCUAAUCAAAUUUGCACAUUAGACUAAAAGACUUGGGAGGUCUAUAAGUAACACAAACCAGUUUGUUAGUUACAAAAAAGUAGAAAGCAGGAGAAGUUGGCAAUACCGAGAAGUCCAGUAUAGUAAGAGAGAGGCACAUCAGUGUGGUGAAUUUUAAACAGAGACUCUGUGGCAGUGAUGACACUAUAUUCUUCCCAGCCAGUAUGACCCCAAACCAAGUCGCCUGGCUUAAACUUUGGAUCCCCAGAUUCCAGGACUUUAGCCACUCCAUAACCAGUUACAGUCUGCAACAUGGAAUUCCAAAUUUUCUUUAGUUUGCUCUAUAUAUGCAAAUCUCUGAAUAAAGCACACUUUUUUUUUAUUCCAAAUUAUCUCAUGCAUUACAAUUUUACAUCAUUGUCCUUAUGUCACCUGGCCUCCAAACCUGGAAUUAAAAAUCUCUCAUCCACAUGACCCAAAGAAGCGAAUUUACAGAAAAAAUGAUAAAUAAAAGGGAUCUGCUAGAAGACACCUGGCCGGGGUUGAAGGAUUGGACAUAAGAGGGCCUGUCGUGCUUGGUCAUAUGGCCGCGUAAGUAAGGAUCGCAGGACAAGUAUAGGUUCUUGACGACAAGGCCAGUCGACCCUUGUGGAAGCUUGAGUUUGGCUGUGGACGUCCUCAAUUCCAUGUCGGAUUCUUUGGGGAACCCGGUCACAUAGUCUUUGAAUAUCACCUGCUUGUUGCUCAUCUCGCUCGCCAUUCGUACUUGCUUGCUGUUGAGAUCAAACUGCUCAAUGCUCUGGUCGUCCUUUCGAUGAGUGAUCAGCUAUUAUUUAUACACACAGAUAUGGACAAACGACAGGAAUGUCCAUUCCGGACAAGCAGAGAAGCCAAGUCCAUUCCGGACACACCAUUCCAGUUAUGGGUUCACAUUUCACCCGACGACGAAGUUGGUGCUUAUGUCAUCCACCUCUACUUACUUACGAGGCCCGAUCCAACGUAACCCUACCCUACCAAACUGUAUCUGAUGCAUUCACCAGCCAACUUACACAUGCCCAAUAUGCCCCAACAACAAAAACAAAAAGAACUUUGCAGCAGAACACAAGAGUUUGAUUCCCUUGUCUUCUGUUCUAUCAAUCUCCUGGUAUUAGUGGUAUUCUUUAUUUUCUUUUCAGCAACUACUGUAGGUUGCAUUAUGCGUUAUUCUUUUGGAAGUUUUUUAAUUGUUUUAAUUUUAUGUCUUAUAUUUUUCAUUUAACUAGAUCUACGUCCACCUACAAAAGUCGUCUUAUACAUACAAGAAUGUUGUCAUUUCAAAAAGUGCAUUCAUAUCUUCUUCUCAAUAUUAGAUCACACGCUGCCUUUCUCUUCAUACUUGAUAAUAGUAUAAAACAUGCUACAUUUAUUAGUGAUAAAGUAAUUUGGGAUUCACAUCCAAAACCAAUUGGUAAUGGGUGGAGUGGCCCAAACCCUUAUUAACCCACAUGCAAGGUCUCAUAUUCCCGAUGUGAGAUAUAUAUCUUAACACGCCCCCGCACGUGUGACGAAUCUUCUCAACACGUCUCCGCACGUGUGUCAAAUCUUCAACCCUAACACGUAGACAACAUUUGAGUGACGUGGAGUUCGUGUGGCCAUUGGGCUUCACACGUGGACGUGGGUAACCCGCUCUGAUACCAUGAUAAAAUAGUCUGGGGUUCACAUCCAAAACCAAUUGGUAAUGGGUAGAGUGGCCCAAACCCUUAUUAACCCACAUGCAAGGUCAUAUAUUCCCGAUGUGAGAUAUAUAUCUCAACAAUUAGGAUCAGACAGUUCUCCUCGACAUAAAAUGCAAUAUCCAAAGCAAGCUAACCAUAUACCUGAUACAAAGUUCAUUACAUAUACCAAGGUGCACUGCAGAUGGGCUUAAACAACUUAACAUAAAAACAAAUGACUCGGACUUCAGAAGUACAGAUGGAGCCGGAUUAGUAAUCACUCCCUGGAAACUACAACAACCUGCUUUCCCACGUUGCGGCCAGCAAAGAGCCCAAUCAGAGCUGCAGGAGCGUUCUCAAGGCCUUCAACUACAUCUUCCACAUAUGUAAUCUUCCCUUCUUUUAUGGCAGGCAACACUGUUUCAAGAAACUUUCCAUACAGAUGACAGUAACUGCUCACCAGGAAACCUUCCAUGCGGACCUGCUUAACAAUCAGAGACAUCAAAUUAUGUAUGCCUUCAGGCUUCUCCAAGUUGUACUGAGAUAUCAUCCCACACACUGCUAUUCGCCCUUUCAGCCUCAUGUUUGGUAGCACUGCAUCAAGCAUCUUUCCCCCCACAUUCUCAAAGUAAAUGUCAAUACCAUCAGGAAAAUACCUGCAGGUUAGCCAAAAACAACUUUAAACAAGAUGUAUAUUCCCAAAAUGAGGUACACAUGCGCAGCAUGAGACCAGACACUUUGUUUUCCCCUUGUGUUUCUAGAUUGAAUUCAGACUCUUAUUAAUGCCUGUGGAGGGUUUGUACCUCCAAAUCCAAUAUUGGAAAAACGAACCAGUCUAGUGUCACUGUAAUUAGAAUAAACAAAGAUCCUAGACUAAGUCAAAGCAUUAAGCAUAUUUUGGAUUCCGACUGCUAAGAGAUAUAUUACAUUCUCACCUUCUUAAAGCUGCAUCCAGGUCAGGUUCGUCUUUAUAGUUGAAAGCCUCAUCAAAUCCGAAUUUGUUCUUCAGCAGAUCAACCUGAGAUCCCAUGUUAACACAGUAGAUAAAAGGGUACGAAGUAUUCUGAAUAUCAGGAUAUUCAGAUAUACAAUGAAUACAGGUCAUCAGGUUCACAGUCUAUGUAGUAUAUUACAGUAUUAGAGGCAUAUCAGAUGAGGCGAAAAAACAGUAGAACUGCUUUAGAUUGAGUGCAGCAGCUACAAGAAUAAGACUAAAUUGAUAACACUUCUAUUUGUAUGUAGGUAAUUGAUCACCAUAAUAGUACUUCCCAAUAAUGUCUCCAUCUUUGAAUUCCAAGAAUUUGGUACACAUCACUAUAGACAUACACAUUUAACAUCACUAUAGACAUACACAUUUAACAUAAAAAUAGUCAUACAAUUGAGUCAAAGAUAUGGAAUCCCAACUAAAACAUUCACUGAUCUACGAGUACCAGUAACUAAC
RNAcentral lists this long non-coding RNA (3916 nucleotides) under Fragaria vesca (wild strawberry). RNAcentral describes it as "long non-coding RNA (FVES_LNC000022)". The record is from RNAcentral. Lineage: Eukaryota; Viridiplantae; Streptophyta; Magnoliopsida; Rosales; Rosaceae.